AGGACGAACGCUGGCGGCGUGCUUAACACAUGCAAGUCGAGCGGAAAGGCCCUUCGGGGUACUCGAGCGGCGAACGGGUGAGUAACACGUGAGCAAUCUGCCCUUAGCUUCGGGAUAGCUCCGGGAAACCGGAAUUAAUACCGAAUACGACCACGGCCGACAUCAGCUGUGGUGGAAAGUUUUUCGGCUAGGGAUGAGCUCGCGGCCCAUCAGCUUGUUGGUGAGGUAACGGCUCACCAAGGCGACGACGGGUA
RNAcentral lists this ribosomal RNA (254 nucleotides) under uncultured bacterium. RNAcentral describes it as "partial small subunit ribosomal RNA". It matches the Rfam family "Bacterial small subunit ribosomal RNA", at positions 26 to 285 of the family's 1533-position model. The record is from RNAcentral.